Molecule: long non-coding RNA, 505 nt
Organism: Agrilus planipennis (emerald ash borer)
Lineage: Eukaryota; Metazoa; Arthropoda; Insecta; Coleoptera; Buprestidae
Exons: 3
Source: RefSeq, a predicted model, not a curated record
ACGAGUGUUUAAUUCUUUUUUUUUUAUCCAUAAUCCGCAUAUAUUUUGACUUUCAUUUGAGAGAAAGAUAGAAAAGUGAAAAGGAUUUCUGCGUAACAGAUAUCUAUUAAAUUAAUUAGUUAAUAAUUGUUUUUGUCCUAUUACACAGAUUAGUCAACAAUUAAGAGAGAUUUGAACUUAUAUCCUUUGCUUACUGAAAAGAUAAGUCGUCUCCUAUGGUGUUUUAGCUGUUAACCUUUCAUCUUGGAGGCUCUUGUGGUUAAUUAAGGAACAUUAGAAGAGCUCCGGAUACCAUUAAAUUAUGAGAUUUUGGAGCAUUGGUUGUAAUAGUCCUCAUUUGCCCCCGGAAAGUAGCUGUGCCUAUGGUUCUAAAGUAAGCAUGAAAGUACCUUCUUUUUUAUUGGGAACGAAGACAGUGUGCUGAAAAAAGGAUUUAUGACAAUCAACUGAUUGUUGUCCCACAAAUGAGAAGGAAUUGCAGUUAAUUUUGGUGCUACUAAAACAA